This 381-nucleotide ribosomal RNA is filed under the name uncultured bacterium. RNAcentral describes it as "bacterial SSU rRNA". It matches the Rfam family "Archaeal small subunit ribosomal RNA", at positions 339 to 720 of the family's 1478-position model. The record is from RNAcentral.
GCGCGAAAACUUUACAAUGCUGGCAACAGCGAUAAGGGAACCUCGAGUGCCAGGUUACAAAUCUGGCUGUCGAGAUGCCUAAAAAGCAUUUCAUAGCAAGGGCCGGGCAAGACCGGUGCCAGCCGCCGCGGUAACACCGGCGGCUCGAGUGGUAACCGUUAUUAUUGGGUCUAAAGGGUCUGUAGCCGGCCGGAUAAGUCUCUUGAGAAAUCUGGCAGCUUAACUGUCAGGCUUUCAGGAGAUACUGUCUGGCUCGAGGCCGGGAGAGGUGAGAGGUACUUCAGGGGUAGGGGUGAAAUCUUGUAAUCCUUGGAGGACCACCAGUGGCGAAGGCGUCUCACCAGAACGGACCUGACGGCAAGGGACGAAAGCUAGGGGCAC